GGUUAGCGAAGCCGUAAGGUGGAGCUAAUCCUUUAAAGCUACUCUCAGUUCGGACUGUAGGCUGAACCUCACCUACAUGAUGCUGGAGUUACUAUUAAUCGCAGAACUGAAUGCUGCGGUAAAUGCAGUCCCGGGUCUUGUACUCACCGCCCGUCACACCACGGGAGUUGGAGACGCCCGAAGCCGAUUAUCUAACCUUUUGGAAGAAGUCGUCGAAGGUGGAAUCAAUAACUGGGGUGAAGUCGUAACAAGGUAGCCGUAUCGGAAGGUGCGGCUGGAUCACCUCCUUUCUAAGGAGA
RNAcentral lists this ribosomal RNA (299 nucleotides) under Clostridioides difficile. Its description in RNAcentral is "partial 16S ribosomal RNA". It matches the Rfam family "Bacterial small subunit ribosomal RNA", at positions 1245 to 1533 of the family's 1533-position model. Lineage: Bacteria; Bacillati; Bacillota; Clostridia; Peptostreptococcales; Peptostreptococcaceae. The record is from RNAcentral.